UAUAAGUAUAAACGCAUUAAGCGUGAAACCGCGAACGGCUCAUUACAACAGCUAUAAUUUACUUGAUCUUGACAAACUUACAUGGAUAACUGAGGUAAUUCUUGAGCUAAUACAUGCACCAAAGCUUUGACCGUAAGGGAAGAGCGCAUUUAUUAGAACAAAACCAAACGGCUUCGGCUGUUCCCAGUUGAAUCAGAAUAACUCAGCUGAUCGUACGGUCUUGCACCGACGACGUGUCUUUCAAGUAUCUGCUUUAUCAACUUUCGAUGGUAGGGUAUCUGCCUACCAUGGUGGUGACGGAUAACGGAGGAUCAGGGUUCGACUCCGGAGAAGGGGCCUGAGAAAUGGCCACUACGUCUAAGGAUGGCAGCAGGCGCGCAAAUUACCCACUCUCAGAAUUUGGAGGAGGUAGUGACGAGAAAUAACGAGGUUGGCCUCUUCUGAGGCCAACCAUCGGAAUGGGUACAAUUUAAACCCUUUAACGAGUAUCUAUGAGAGGGCAAGUCUGGUGCCAG
RNAcentral lists this ribosomal RNA (515 nucleotides) under Nematoda environmental sample. RNAcentral describes it as "SSU rRNA". It matches the Rfam family "Eukaryotic small subunit ribosomal RNA", at positions 58 to 570 of the family's 1831-position model. The record is from RNAcentral. Lineage: Eukaryota; Metazoa; Nematoda.